GGGAGCUUGCUCCCCAUGAGAGUGGCGCACGGGUGCGUAACACGUAUGUAACCUACCUAURUCAGGGGGAUAGCCUCUCGAAAGAGAGAUUAAGCCCGCAUAAAAUCAGAUUGUGGCAUCACAGACUGAUCAAAUAUUUAUAGGAMAARGAUGGGCAUGCGGAACAUUAGCUAGUUGGCGGGGUAACGGCUCACCAAGGCUACGAUGUUUAGGGGAUCUGAGAGGAUGACCCCCCACACUGGUACUGAGACACGGACCAGACUCCUACGGGAGGCAGCAGUAAGGAAUAUUGGUCAAUGGACGGAAGUCUGAACCAGCCAUGCCGCGUGCAGGAAGACGGCCCUACGGGUUGUAAACUGCUUUUGUACGGGAAUAAACCC
This 380-nucleotide ribosomal RNA is filed under the name Sphingobacteriia bacterium Ellin6121. Its description in RNAcentral is "bacterial SSU rRNA". It matches the Rfam family "Bacterial small subunit ribosomal RNA", at positions 74 to 453 of the family's 1533-position model. Lineage: Bacteria; Pseudomonadati; Bacteroidota; Sphingobacteriia. The record is from RNAcentral.